GUAGGUGGCAAGCGUUGUCCGGAAUUAUUGGGCGUAAAGCGCGCGCAGGUGGUUCUUUAAGUCUGAUGUGAAAGCCCCCGGCUCAGCCGGGGAGGGUCAUUGGAAACUGGGGAACUUGAGUGCAGGAGAGGAAAGUGGAAUUCCACGUGUAGCGGUGAAAUGCGUAGAUAUGUGGAGGAACACCAGUGGCGAAGGCGACUUUCUGGCCUGUAACUGACACUGAGGCGCGAAAGCGUGGGGAGCAAACAGGGAUUAGAUACCCUGGUAGUCCACGCCGUAAACGAUGAGUGCUAAGUGUUGGGGGGGGUUUCCGCCCCCUCAGUGCUGCAGCUAACGCAUUAAGCACUCCGCCUGGGAUACGGUCGCAAGACUG
This 373-nucleotide ribosomal RNA is filed under the name uncultured organism. RNAcentral describes it as "partial 16S ribosomal RNA". It matches the Rfam family "Bacterial small subunit ribosomal RNA", at positions 527 to 896 of the family's 1533-position model. The record is from RNAcentral.